Long non-coding RNA from Salmo salar (Atlantic salmon), 1984 nucleotides. RefSeq lists it as uncharacterized. The record is from RefSeq and is a predicted model, not a curated record. NCBI's taxonomy places the organism in Eukaryota, Metazoa, Chordata, Actinopteri, Salmoniformes, Salmonidae.
CGUAUGUCUAGGCAUCAUAGUUGUGUGUGAAGAAUUAAACGAGGCUAUAGCUUUAGAGAACACAAAAAAAUAAAAAAUAUACAGAGGAAAAAAGGUACCUAAUCAGAGAAACAUGAUGCAGAGACUUGUACACUGUGACUUAGAGGAAAUCGGGAUAGCAGAUAGAUAUGCAUGCUUAUUCACUCUCUCCUUCCUGUGUGUGUCAGUGGGUGAGAUGAUGAUCAGGAGGCAGAACAGAACAGUGUGAAGUUAUUACGACGAUACAAAAAUACUGAAGAAUACUCUAAGUAGUGUAAGCAGGUAGGCGGCUACACAAUUAGAAUCAGAGUUUACCUGGGAGAGGAAGGAGAGGAGACAAUGGAGGUUUGGAUCUGACUGAGGGGGAGCAGUGGGACAUCUGUCUGCAAGGUCCCUGGUCUGACUGGGCUGUGCUGAGAUCCAUCAUCUUUACACGUUGGGAUGCAGCAGCGGCAGCUUCUUAAGAUGAGAAAGUAGACCAUCCAGUACUGUCACAUUUCCCACCCGUGCCUUUGUGUGUGUCUGCCAGGGCCCACAAACACAGAGGAACUCACAGUACGUGUACAAUAGCCCAUUGCUUUACAAUAGACGUUCCAGACGUUAUCUUGACAGCGAAGGCGAAAAAGUCCCUUUUGUCUCUUGGUGAGUAUUGCUGUCAGAAGGGCUACGCACUUUGUGUGUAUGACUGAAUGGGGUUCCUGUGAAUCCAUGAAGGCCCUUGCUAUUCCACAAGGUGGUGGUUUUGUUUCAUGUACAUCUCAUCCUCAUAUGAUUGGUGUGAAGAGUGAGUAAGUUCUUGAACCUACUAAUAUGGCACUAUUACCAACCUUAGACACUUCAACCCCAAGGCCUCCUGGCCCCCAGGCCUAACUGUUCCCCACCAACCUCAGCUAGGUGCUUCCUCCAUCUUCGACAAAGACAUGUCCUUGGAGAGACACAAAGAGAGAGCAGAGAGCCAAGCAGAAAGGCAAUGAGUGGUGCGAAGGUGACACUCAUAAGACAGGGAAAGGGUGCGAAAGGCCAUGACACGAUGUAUCUCCUAUAGUAACUCACUGCCUGCCUAUACUCACAAUGUGAACACCAAGCACAACAUUGGUCCUUGCUUCGUUUUGCCAUUCAAUCUUAACGUUUUAACCCCACAAUCUAUUUGUUAAGGUAGGCUAUGAAUCUUCCAAAAGUUGUGAUUUGCAAUGUAUUAUAGGCUCAACAUUGUCCACUUACACACAACAGUAGCCUAUAUUUGAGUAGAUACUCACUCAAUUCAGGGACUGUUAUCAUUCCAAAACUAGAUAACAAAAUAUUAGAUGAGGUCAGAUUCAGCGAAAUCCCACGGCCAGAAUCCAAUCUCACCUAUCACUAUUAGAUGUUCUAAUCUGAUGUCCAUCACAUAAAACUCAUUGUAUUCAUAAUGGGAUAAAAGCACCUAAGAUUGGAUAUUUGGAUAUUUGAUGGUAUUAUGGUCAGAUUGGACAUUGCUGCUGAUCGGACUGGAGUGGGACAAUGACCGGUGGGAGGAUUUUGACAUUACGUGAACCUUUGUGGACGGUGAUAAGGAGGAGGAUGAUGAUGAAGAGACUGGAGCUUUAUAAUGCUUAAAUGUGAUUAUGUGUCACUGCCCUGUUUCUCUGUUACACAGGAGAGGGAAACAUUGGAGUUUAUCUGAGGCAUUUCAGUUGAAUGACCUUUCGAUGACCCAUAGGCCUACAUACAGUGUGCUACGUACAGGAGAAAGGGUUAGGGUGCAUGUGCUUCAUGGAUACAAUUCCACUUCAAUGUGGUGGAAGAAGAUCGAAGCUUGUCUAAUUAAUUCCUCUUUUAAUGCCCUUUCUUAUAACAUGUUUCAUUCCUGAAUUACUGGCAGCUAAGGGACAACACGGAGAUCAAUAAAAACAAACGUCACAUGAUUGUUUUAUGGAACUUAAUACAUUAACACUGGCCAUAGAAACAUCAGGAUGUAUCAGAGACA